CAGCAGCCGCGGGAAUACGUAUGGAGCGAGCGUUGUCCGGAAUUAUUGGGCGUAAAGGGCUCGCAGGCGGCUUCUUAAGUCUGAUGUGAAAGCCCCCGGCUCAACCGGGGAGGGUCAUUGGAAACUGGGAAACUUGAGUGCAGAAGAGGAGAGUGGAAUUCCACGUGUAGCGGUGAAAUGCGUAGAGAUGUGGAGGAACACCAGUGGCGAAGGCGACUCUCUGGUCUGUAACUGACGCUGAGGAGCGAAAGCGUGGGGAGCGAACAGGAUUAGAUACCCCUGUAGUCCCUGUCUCUUAUAC
This 301-nucleotide ribosomal RNA is filed under the name uncultured bacterium. RNAcentral describes it as "partial 16S ribosomal RNA". It matches the Rfam family "Bacterial small subunit ribosomal RNA", at positions 509 to 807 of the family's 1533-position model. The record is from RNAcentral.